RNAcentral lists this ribosomal RNA (465 nucleotides) under uncultured bacterium. RNAcentral describes it as "bacterial SSU rRNA". It matches the Rfam family "Bacterial small subunit ribosomal RNA", at positions 40 to 500 of the family's 1533-position model. The record is from RNAcentral.
CGGCAGGCCUAAUACAUGCAAGUCGAGGGGUAACAGGAAGUGCUUGCACUUCGCUGACGACCGGCGCACGGGUGAGUAUCGCGUAUACAAUCUGCCUCAUACUAGGGAAUAGCCCGAAGAAAUUUGGAUUAAUGCCCUAUAGUAUCUUUUUAAGGCAUCUUAAUAAGAUUAAAGGUUACGGUAUGAGAUGAGUAUGCGUUCUAUUAGCUAGUAGGUGUGGUAACGGCACACCUAGGCUACGAUAGAUAGGGGCCCUGAGAGGGGGAUCCCCCACACUGGUACUGAGACACGGACCAGACUCCUACGGGAGGCAGCAGUAAGGAAUAUUGGACAAUGGGCGAAAGCCUGAUCCAGCCAUGCCGCGUGCAGGAUGACUGCCCUAUGGGUUGUAAACUGCUUUUAUAUAGGAAGAAAAAUUUUCUCGUGAGAAAACUUGACGGUACUAUAAGAAUAAGGAUCGGCUAA